AAUAAGUGUAGUUUUACACUAUUUAUAUUCAACGUUUGACCAUUCGACUUAUUUGAAAAAAAAUUAUAAUUAGUAUUUUUAUUUUUAUUACAUGAAAAAAACAUAGAUAGUACUUUUAAGUGUAACUAAUUUUUUAAUUUUUUUCAUAAACUUUUCAAAUAAGACGGACGAUCAAACGUUGGAUAUGUAUACAUACGGCUGUACUUAUU
This is a microRNA precursor of Oryza sativa Japonica Group (Japanese rice), 209 nucleotides long. It matches the Rfam family "MIR812 microRNA precursor family". Lineage: Eukaryota; Viridiplantae; Streptophyta; Magnoliopsida; Poales; Poaceae. The record is from Rfam.